AUAUCGGGGGUGCACUGGCACAGAGGAAAGGCCAUGUGAAGCAAGAAGGCAGCCAUCUGCAAGCCAAGGAGAGAAAUUUCAGAAGGAACCAACCCUACCGACAUCUUGAUCUUGGACUUUAAGCUGCCAGACCUUUUAUACAUUUUCUACAGAAAAUGCACCCCAUCAUUGCUUAUAGCCCACCCACGUGGACUGCUCAUUCUGUGAAUCAUGUUUUACAGAUUUGUUUAUGUGGCAUUCCUCGUUUGAAUAAAGCAGAACCAAAUGUCUUGGUUUGAAGAUUGAGAUGAAAUGGGAGGGCCACAAAUAGUAAUUUAUCUUUGAGCAUCGUAUAGAUAAACAUGUAACCUGAUACUAAACAAAAGUAAAUGCUCAUGGACUGUCAGUGAUGUGGUGGGAUAUGCCAGAGGGAAGUGAUUUGUGGACUCACUGGAGAGAGACUUCUACUAGAAAAAUUGCCUUGAUGUUAGGAAUUAAAAAAACAAAACAAAACAAAAAACAUGGAGCCGUAUUCUCCAGAAGCUUACAUCUGAUUUAACGAGACAGCAAUAGGAAGCCAAAGGGUCCCUGCAGAGGAGGGUUGCAGCACGAUAACUCUACAGCUGGACAGAGACAGAUUGCAGGGGAGCAAGAAUGAAUGGCAGGCCAGCUGCCAGAAGCUUCUCACUCCGUGGAGACCUUGGAGUCGAGGAUGAAAUGUCUUACAACUGUGGGGAGACCUUGGCUUUUCCAAAGCCUACCAGGGUCCAGCCCUAUAUUCUGCAACUAUGCUGGCAGAUUUAGGAGGUGAUAACUGCUGGGAAGAAGUUGUUAAAGAGAGAACUCAGAGCCCCCAUGCUCCAUCCUCAACCACUGGCUGACAGGGAAGGACUCCAAGCAGACAGUGGGUGAUACUGUUGCUACUGGUCUUUGAGAACUGCUGACUUACAAUGUAUGGACAGGUAAAUAGGGUUCAUUCUCCAGCCACCUCUCAUCUACCAAAGAAAGUGCAGGCUCCUGUAGCAUGUAAAGGAGGACUUGGAAGCUAAGGCCCAGAGAGGAGGAGAAACUUGAUCAAAGUCAAUCAGACAAUGCAGAAUCGAGAAAAGUACCUGGACCUCUAUGCCCAUGCUUCUAGCAGCCAGCCUCCUAAAAUACCUCUAGUUGAAGCCAAAGUUAGAAUCCUUCUACGAAACUACAGGAUUAAAAUGGAAUGGUUACAUGACCCAGGCUUGACCAAUCAGAUCAUCCAAACCCUUUGCCACAGUGAUUGGUCCAGGGAUACAUGCAUGAGCCAGCUCAGGUGGCAUUGUAUUAUGCGCCAAGAGUGAACCAGAUAGAGGAAGUUGCUCCUUAAGCUUGCAGGUCUGAAAGAACAAGGAAUUGCCUCUCUUCAAAGGCAAGUAACUUCCAUGAUUGACACUUUUCUCUCAUCAGCCCUCCAACAGUAAUUAUGCCAGAAACAGACCCAAACCUGGGCUAGUCACUUGUAGCAGGCUUUCUGGACAUAAGGCUGUAAUCACACCUGACUUUCCUUUCAGAUAAGAAGUCCAGCCACUUCUUUAAUUUAUCGGAUUAUAAGGCCUAAGCCACACUCAUCUUGUGGAUGACACUGGAGCUGUGACAGUCUGUUCUGUCCAGGCAGGGUGUCUUUUAUUUUUAUUGGAAAUAAGAUUAUCACAGCCCUUUGAGAGCUUCUGUGUCUCAACAUCAGAAAAUCAUCCUAGAUCCAUACUUGUACACAACAGUCUGUGCCAGUGAGAUUCAUUCUUUUGGGAGCUCUGCUAAUAAUGCACGAAUUGCUGGCUGUUGAUACUCUUUCUCAUCAACUCCCCAAAUGGAAAUGCUUUCAACCACUGCAGAAGUAAAAAAUUACCCAAAGGCUGUAUGAUGCAAACUCUUUCUUUGGCUUUAUCUUACUGAUAAGAAUAAAAAUAACACCUCACGUAUGUAU
This 1933-nucleotide long non-coding RNA is filed under the name Homo sapiens (human). RNAcentral describes it as "PREDICTED lncRNA (TCONS_00265607)". The record is from RNAcentral. Lineage: Eukaryota; Metazoa; Chordata; Mammalia; Primates; Hominidae.